RNAcentral lists this unclassified non-coding RNA (211 nucleotides) under uncultured fungus. Its description in RNAcentral is "sequence contains ITS1". Lineage: Eukaryota; Fungi. The record is from RNAcentral.
GUUUUUAAUUCAAAGAAUUCAAAACGGUGUAAAGACAGUUAAUGUAAAGAGUUUAAACAGGUGGGUGGCGGUAAAACCUGUCCAAAAAGGACAUUUUAACCCACCAGAGACAAUAAACGGUUCACAAGGGUGUUUAAAAGAGACCGUCCCGAGAGACGGUUCUUUUAGUUGGAAUUUGUUAAUGAUCCAACCGCAGGUUCACCUACGGUUA